CGCUUGCCUGGCAUGCGUGCGGCCUGGGUUCGAUCCUCAGCUCCACAUACAAACAAAGAUGUUGUGUCCGCCAAGAACUAAAAAAUAAAUAUUAAAGAAAAAAAAAGGUAUGAAAAGCAAAAUAAAGGCAGAUGACUUAAAUUUUUAAAAAAUUCUACAUGAGGCAUAGUUGGCACUGUAUAAAUAAACAUGGCAAAAUGUUUGACUUUAGGACUAAUCAAGAACUGCAGAUUAAAAUAACAGUGACAUACCACUUUUAUCUGUUGGCUUGGCAACAGUAAAAAAUAUAUAUAUAAAACAGUGCUGGAAUUACUGAGGGGAAAUGUGUAAUAUUACACACUUUUGAUGGGAGAAAAAAGUGGGAUAAGCUUUUUGGUGGGCAGGUUGAUAACAUGUAAAAAAAUAACUUUCCCUACCCACCCCCAUUUUUAUAGGACUGGGGAUCAAGCCCAGGUCCUCACACAUGCUACAGAAGGGCUCUACCACUGAGCUAUUACUCCCAGCCCCAUGGCUAAAAUCUUUGACAGAGCAAUUUCAUUUCUAGGAAAUUAUUCCAAGAAAAUGUUACAAAUUCUCAAACUUCUGUGUAUAAUGGCAAUGUAGAUGAUGUGUGUUUUUUGUUUGUUGGAUCCUCUUUCUAGAUGUACACUCCUAACCUUGAUGGUUGGUCCAAAACAGAUGUGGGAGGAAUGUACAUCAGGCCACUCUUUCUUUCACAGGGUUAAGUUGAAAAUGGAAAAAGGAGUUGCUCUUGGCUUUCUGGCUGUAAGGUAGGGAUUCUAGAACUAAGAAAUAAAUGACACGGAAAGACAGAAAGUGUUCUGGUAUAAUUUGAGCUGAUUGAUGUGGUUAACCUGAUGGCCAGUGUACUUUCUUCCUUUCUAUGGUUAUUAUGAAAACCAAUUAAAUCUAUCUUUUUGCUAAACACA
RNAcentral lists this long non-coding RNA (929 nucleotides) under Marmota monax (woodchuck). Lineage: Eukaryota; Metazoa; Chordata; Mammalia; Rodentia; Sciuridae. The record is from RNAcentral.